CGACCGGCGCACGGGUGAGUAACACGUAUCCAACCUGCCGAUGACUCGGGGAUAGCCUUUCGAAAGAGAGAUUAAUACCCGAUGGCAUAGUUCUUCGCAUGGUAGAACUAUUAAAGAAUUUCGGUCAUCGAUGGGGAUGCGUUCCAUUAGCUUGUUGGCGGGGUAACGGCCCACCAAGGCAUCGAUGGAUAGGGGUUCUGAGAGGAAGGUCCCCCACAUUGGAACUGAGACACGGUCCAAACUCCUACGGAAGGCAGCAG
This 260-nucleotide ribosomal RNA is filed under the name uncultured bacterium. RNAcentral's name for it is "partial 16S ribosomal RNA". It matches the Rfam family "Bacterial small subunit ribosomal RNA", at positions 92 to 354 of the family's 1533-position model. The record is from RNAcentral.